GUCCCUGUAGCGCGAUGAAUAACGCCUAACCCAAAGGUCGUGGGUUCAAAUCCCACCUGAGAUU
Trichonephila clavipes is the source of this 64-nucleotide non-coding RNA. The record is from the annotation of a GenBank genome assembly. Lineage: Eukaryota; Metazoa; Arthropoda; Arachnida; Araneae; Nephilidae.